Molecule: ribosomal RNA, 206 nt
Filed under: uncultured bacterium
Lineage: Bacteria
Description: partial 16S ribosomal RNA
Rfam family: Bacterial small subunit ribosomal RNA
Source: RNAcentral
UGCGUAGGUGGUGGGGUAAGUCGGAUGUGAAAUCUCCGAGCUCAACUCGGAAAUGGCAUUGGAAACUACCCUGCUAGAGGGUCGGAGGGGGGACUGGAAUGCUUGGUGUAGCAGUGAAAUGCGUAGAUAUCAAGCGGAACACCAGUGGCGAAGGCGAGUCCCUGGACGACUCCUGACACUGAGGCACGAAAGCUAGGGAGCAAACA